UAUUGGCAAGUGGUGGAAACGAAAAUAACAUAUACAUAUGGGAAGCUUCAAAAAUGAGCUCAUCCAAUUUUUUACACCAAUUCAAGGAACACCGUGCAGCAGUCAAAGCGCUUGCUUGGUGCCCCUUUCAAUUUAAUGUACUCGCUUCAGGAGGAGGUACAAAAGAUGGUUGUAUAAAGAUAUGGAAUACGCAGAAGGGGACAUGUAUCAACAGCAUAGACACCAAUACGCAGAUUUGUGCACUAGAGUGGAACAGACAUCACAAGGAAAUAUUGAGUGGCCAUGGCUAUGGUGUGGGAGAGCUUCGAAAUCAUCUAUGCUUGUGGAAAUACCCUUUCCUCACUAAAAUGGGAGAGAUAAAAGGUCAUAGCUCCAGAGUACUUGGUCUUUCUCAGGUUUGACUGCUUAAAGGCCUUAAGUUAACUAGUGGAGUAUUUGUUCUUACACCUAAAAUUCAUGAAUCUUUUUUCCUUUCAUUGAUUUGUUGCAGAGUCCUGAUGGAUUAACUGUUGUAUCAGCCGGAGGAGAUGAGACGCUUCGCUUCUGGGAGAUAUUUGGACCACCUUGCAUUUCAAACUCUGGGUUCUCGGGUCUUGGGGGCCUUUUGUCUCUGAAGACAUCCCCAAUAAGAUGAAGGCAGGUGGAGCACUUUUUCGAUGCAAGCUUGUUUCCUCCUCUGCUUGUAAUUUAUCCUAUCGUUCUUGCACAUUUAUGAGAGCAGCGGAAUAGUUUUUCUCAUUUGUAUAACUAGAUUCAUGCUAUUACUGUAGAUGCAAAAGAUAAUAAUAG
This 789-nucleotide unclassified non-coding RNA is filed under the name Hevea brasiliensis (rubber tree). Lineage: Eukaryota; Viridiplantae; Streptophyta; Magnoliopsida; Malpighiales; Euphorbiaceae. The record is from RNAcentral.